GACGUAGGGGGCGAGCGUUGUCCGGAUUCAUUGGGCGUAAAGCGCGCGUAGGCGGCUGCGCAAGUCGGUUGUGAAAUUCCGGGGCUCAACCCCGGAACUGCGUCCGAUACUGCGUGGCUAGAGGUAGGUAGGGGAGAUCGGAAUUCCUGGUGUAGCGGUGAAAUGCGCAGAUAUCAGGAGGAACACCGGUGGCGAAGGCGGCUCUCUGGACCGAUACUGACGCUGAGGCGCGAAAGCGUGGGGAGCAAACAGG
Molecule: ribosomal RNA, 253 nt
Filed under: uncultured bacterium
Lineage: Bacteria
Description: partial 16S ribosomal RNA
Rfam family: Bacterial small subunit ribosomal RNA
Source: RNAcentral